GACGAACGCUGGCGGCGUGCUUAACACAUGCAAGUCGAACGGAAAGGCCCUGCUUUUGUGGGGUGCUCGAGUGGCGAACGGGUGAGUAACACGUGAGUAACCUGCCCUUGACUUUGGGAUAACUUCAGGAAACUGGGGCUAAUACCGGAUAGGAGCUCCUGCUGCAUGGUGGGGGUUGGAAAGUUUCGGCGGUUGGGGAUGGACUCGCGGCUUAUCAGCUUGUUGGUGGGGUAGUGGCUUACCAAGGCUUUGACGGGUAGCCGGCCUGAGAGGGUGACCGGCCACAUUGGGACUGGGAUACGGCCCAGACUCCUACGGGAGGCAGCAGUGGGGAAUAUUGCACAAUGGGCGGAAGCCUGAUGCAGCAACGCCGCGUGCGGGAUGACGGCCUUCGGGUUGUAAACCGCUUUCGCCUGUGACGAAGCGUGAGUGACGGUACUGGGUAAAGAAGCACCGGCUAACUACGUG
RNAcentral lists this ribosomal RNA (468 nucleotides) under uncultured bacterium. RNAcentral's name for it is "partial 16S ribosomal RNA". It matches the Rfam family "Bacterial small subunit ribosomal RNA", at positions 28 to 507 of the family's 1533-position model. The record is from RNAcentral.